UUAGACCCCUGCAACGUCAAUUAACCCUAGAUCCUACGUUUGAGCUCCGUUUAACCUCGUUCAAGAUACGUUAGAUGCAUAACAAUGUAAAUUACACGUUAGUGGUAAUAUUUUCCUUCACACAUGUUUUUUAAAAUAAAAUUUAUAUUAAAAUUGAUUAAUGCCUCACAAAUGAGUUCUUCUCUAAAUAAAAUCUAUUUAAUGUUAAACAUCAUUUUUCAUAAUAAUUGUUAAUUUGAUUAAUUCCUACUUCAUACCCUCUUCUAAAUAAAAGCCAAUUAGGUUAUAUAUCAGUUUUUCAUAAACUAAAGUUAAUUGGAUUAAUUCCUACCUAAAUAAUUCUUCCAAUUAAAAGCCACUUAGAGUUAUACCUCGGCGUUUCAUAAAUUAAAUUCAAUUUGAUUAAUGUUUAUUCAAUUUGUUUUCUAAAUAAAAUCUAUAUAGGUCAUAUCUCGAGUUUUCAUAAUUAAAUAUUAAUUUGGCUAAUAUAAAUAUAAAUGUGUUUUUAAUUUAAUCUACUUAGUUGAACUCGAAAUGUAAAGCUAUACGCUUACAUGUCUACAUGUAUCUUAUUUUCAAAUUAAAUGUUUAAUUUGCAUAAAUUGUACUUAAAUAUUUAUAAAUAAAAUUGGGCUAAGCUUUACACAGUCUUUUCUUAUGAAAAUAUAAAUAUGACUUGAUUAAUUCUAACUAAGGAUAUUUCUCUGAAAUAUAUUUACAAUAUUUUUCUCAACUAAAAUAAAUGAAGCUUGUAGGUCUCAUCUUUCUUUUAUAUUUUAAAACUCUCGAUAGCUUUAUCGUUUCAACCAUAGUUCUGUUCUCAGCGUCUCUUCCGUUCACGUAAUCUUAGAAUCGAGCCCUAUCCUUUAGUACGCUCUUUUAAAGCUUGUCUUUUGUUUUGGUGUAUUGUUCUUAGUUGUACUUGUUUGUUGCUUGCAUGUUUGUGCCGAUGUUUGCUCCGAGUAGAAGGAUCGUUGUUCGGAAGUUUUGAAGAGUAAGAGCUUCAAGAGAGCAAGAGCCGAAAAGCAGUAAGAGUAACUUUCUGUUGGAGAAAGGCAAGUGUCCCUAACCAACCUUCUACCUAUGCUUUGUUAAUAAUAUCAUGAUAAUGUUAAUCGGAACAUGGAGCGACCACCCAGGAAAAUAGUGCUACCACAAGAUUAAAUGGCUCUGGUCUUGGCUGAAUAAUUAGAAACUCUAGUAUGAGGUAAUCUUACCGAAAGGGCAAGAGGGGAGGCGUUGCUGGGGUAUAGCACUCGCUCUCUUGGAAAGUGGGCUUUGCUAAGACACUGUACCCACUAGGGGACUGUUAUGCUCUGCUUCGACCUGAAACCUUAGCGGGUUACCACUUACUAGCGAAUCUUUGUAAAGGCCUCGUAGCGUCCCUAUGCAAUCACACCUCGGAAGUGUGGUAUGAUGCCUAGCUAGCAUCGCAUGGUUGGGUCCAAAGUUCUUUGAACUUUUACGCGACUUGUGGGUAAAGAUGUGCCACCUCUGCAGAGUGUAAAACUGAUCGAUCAGCCGUGCUCACGGUCAAGAGCGGCUUGGACCCUCACAUGAUUAAGUAAACUUGAAGAUGGACUCAAAUCGUUAUUCUGGUUAUUUCUUGUGGCCUUGCUGAGUACCAACCAUAAGUGUACUCACCCUUGCUUACUGCUGCUCAGAAGAAGAAGGUGUGUGAAGUAUUCCGAAGAUGAUGCUGAGUUCUAGGCGUACGCAACCCCCAGUCAAUUGCAUGUGAAGUUUGGAGCCUCCGUCUCCAGUAUUUGACCUGUGUAUCUCUGAUGGUUUUGUAAGUCUUUAUUUGUAUCUUUUUACGUGAUAUUGUUGCUGUUAUUCACUUAUGAUGUCACUAUAUGUAUGAAACUUGAUCCUGGCAUACAUAUAGGUAGCACUUGGUUUUGUCCUUAAAACCAGGUGUGAUAGAAGUGGUAUCAGAGCUGUAUCGACUGUAGGACAUAAGCCUAGAUAGUAAUGGUCACUUCUUAAGGUCUGUUUUACCAUAAAAAUAAUUCUUACCUUAUCCUUGACCUCUCUGAUCUCUAUUCUCACUCCUUGUACAUCUUAUCUACACCUUGGUUUCUUAUUUUUGAUCAACUUUGACUCUUAGUCCUUUACACCCACCUUGUUUUGCUAUUGCUAAACCCUCAAUCCUUGUCUAUUGACUUACUCCCUCCUUGAUGCUUUCUUGAUCUUGAUUAUACCUCUCCUUUGAUGAAUAACUUUCCCUAUUCCAAGCAUCUCACCUCCUUUUGGUUUGUUGGUGAAAAUGCUUACGCCUUACUCCUUGAUAUUUUUUUUAUCUCCUACUUAUCCUUUUAUACGCAUCUUCUCCUUGAUUUUUUUUAAUAUAUCCACCUUGUCCCGUUGUAUCUCUCCUUACUUUUCAAAUACCUUGAAAUCUUUCCUUGAAUUUUGAUUCCAAUGUAUCUUCUAUUUUUUUUUAAAAAAAAAGUUUAGAUGAUCCGCGUCACCUGUUCUAAAGCCCGUUCAAGUAUUAUGAAGAAUGAAGCCAUCAGUUCACCACCAGAAGUCAAGCCUCAGCAACCGAAAAAGUAAUCCCUUCAUAGGUGUACCCUCUUGCAGUCUUACUAACAACGUUUAGCGUCAUUCCUUAAUUUUGUGUUGACUGGUGAAAUUUUGUGCUUGCAUGAUAACGCUUGUCUUUAUGAAAUUGUGUGAUUUGUUUCUUUGUCAUGAUUUUUGGUGUAUUGUGGGUCUUCUAUCUACAAUGACAUCAGUUGCCUAGCUGGGUUCUUCUUUUGAAUCUCCCAUAUCCUUGUCAUCCAUUCCUUUCUACCUGAGCCAAUGAAGGACAACAGAAAAGAGAGAACUAAAGUCAACACCAACGUCAACAAGCAGGAGUUAACAUCACCACCACCGUCUCGCUAGAAGCAAGUUGAAGAAUAGAAGGCUUUACUCUGAUCUCUAUUUUACUCUAAUGAUGAUUACAAGAACCAAAGAAGAUGAAGAAAGCAGGGAGAUUCUACUCGCGACAAGCAAAGAUGAAAGACUAUCCACUCUGCUAUAAGAAUCUUGUUGUCUCCCUCCUCUUUGUUUUUUUUUCUCGUCGAAUCUGCUUGUGCCUCCCACAUCCUUGUUAUUUUUUUUCUUUCUAUCUCCCAAUUCUGAUGGACAUCAAGAAGAGAGUGAAGGCAACACCAAUGUCAAUAAGCAGAGGCUAUCGCCACCAUCACCGUUGAAAUAGAAGCAAGUCGAAGAAAAAAAACCCUACUCUAGUUUCUUUGUCAUCUUGUUGUUUUUCUAUCCUUCCUUCUAUCUUACUCUGAUGACGACCCAAGAAAAGACGAAGAUAUCAUGAAGUUCUCUACCUUGUUCUGCAAUUUUAUCCAUUUCCUAUUUUAUUCUGAUCCUAUGUUUAUCACCCAACCAAAUGGCGAGUCCCAAUGAAAAUCAUGAAGAUAGAGCCAAUGAAGAAGAUCUUAACAUUCCACUUGUAUCCGCAUUAUUUGAAUGCAAGGUGUUAGAGUAUAUGGCAGCACAAACUCGGACUUUACAAGCAAUGGCUCAAACCAUGGUCAGUACCCCUCAGUAAAUCACAGAGCACGCCCCACUCCCUCGGAACCACAACCCUAUCACCAGUGAUGACCAUCACGUUUUGUUUGCUCCACCACCGUUCAACAACGAGAAGUUAUUAGCUAUGCAGGCUCAAGUCUUACAAGGAAGGAUACAGACUGACACAUCAUCUCCUCAUAACAUGGAGAUGAUCAAGGCUAGAAUUCCCACUGGACUAGUGAAGAGGCAAGUUGCUGAAGCCUGGGACGAUCAAAGGAACAAGAGAAGCCAUGGAACAUCGGAGCUGGAAAUGGAGAGACAAUAUGAAGAUGUUAAGAUUCCAGGAACACCAUCAUCUUCCAUGUCUCCAGAAAGAAGAUAGCCUAAUGACAGCUAAAGCUAGACAACAUCAUCAUUUAGAUAUCAAUAAGAAGAGGAAGUUGUAUGCCCAAGGGCCAUCCCUAGAGGAAGUUACUCAAGAUGAAGAUAGUACUCAGACUAUGAACCUUGAGGGUUGGAGUAUCUCUUUCAAAGAAAUUCAGCCCUGGAGGAGUAGGCUGUAACAACUCUACCUAAAUUAAGUGCUUUUAACUCUAAACCAGUGAUAAAUCCCUAAGUUAAGAAGUGAAAUGACCUUUAUAAACCUAAGAAGCUCUUUUGGAGUUUGUUUUAAAGCUUGAAAUUCUAUAUACAAACUUAAGUUUCUGCCCAAAUAAGAGUUGUAAAAAUUUUAAAUUCCAACAACUUUUGUUAAAGGCGCUUUAACCAUUUCGGAGUGGAAGGGAGUCAAAAACAGCAACCAAAGCCGGCUUUCCUAAAGGACCCUGAAAAUCUCUUAAGUCCUGGGAUUCGAGUUUUUCCUUCAUCUUUGCAAGCUUUCAUCUCCCGUUUUCCUAUCUAAACUCGAGUUAGAGCCUUAAUAGAAGUUGUAGUACCUCAAGAAUGUUCCAACUUUGUUACACUGACCCGGAUCCAAAUCGGACCCGAACUUGUUCAAAAUCCCGGUGAAAGUGAGGUAAACCAGUCAACUCACCCUGGUGCCUUGAAAAUCCUAAGUCUGGAAUUCUAGAUUUUUGGCUAACUUUGGCGUAAAAUAUCUUUGAAUCCUUUCACAAUCUAAACUGACACCUUAAACAAAGUUUGAAGAACGAUCAGAGUUGAACAAGUUUGUUUAAGGGAGUUUCGGGAGUCGUGUUGAAAGAUUCGGAGAAGGAUCGCUCCAAAGCUGGUCGGGCUUGCUGCCCGAAGGGAGCCUCGACGCCCACGCGCCCGAGCAUGUUCGCUCGCGCGCCGCGUGGCCGCCGGCCACCGGCAGCUCGCCGGCGCCCUAUCCCCAGCGCGACAGCGACAGGACAAGAGCCACGGCGCCCAACCCGCGCCCGCGACAGGACGGAGCGAGCGCAGGGCUAGCCAAUCGCCGGCCGUGUGCAGGUCGCCUUCCACCUGCCACGGGUCUGCUCCGCCAACCCUGUUCUGCCUGUUCGCCGAGAAAGCUGAGACGCCCCCGACGUCCCGCGCCUCCGCCCGCUCGCCCAACCCCCAUGGUAGUCUUUCCGCCUCGCCCGCCCGACAGACCGGAAGCCCCAGACGCGCGCCGCCCAAGGCCAAUCGCCGCCGAAGACCACCGGUAGCUCCGCCUCCUCUGCCCAAUGGCGUCGUCGGCCAAUGGCCGCCUCGCUCGAGCACUCGCCGCUCCCGGCCUUAUCCUUUCCCCACCGGAGCCCCGCCUCGACCCUCCGCGCCACCCCAUCCCUAUAAAAGGGAACCCCCUCACCGGCAAUGCCACCCCUUGCCACCGCCGCUUUCUCCUCGGAGCCACCGCUUUCUCCCCGCGCCGCUGCUGAGCUUCCGUGGAGCUCACCCCCUUGCGCCACCCCCAUACUCCGGCGACUUCGCCGUCACCCUCAAGCCGCUUCUCCCAACCCCACAGCCGCCUGUUCCCGCGCACGGUUCUAGAGCUUGCUUGUGCCCACCAGAAGCACCGCCACCGCAGGAGCACCCUCGAAGUCUCACCGCCGCCCCAACCUUCGUGCGUACAACCUUCCGCCCCAGCCUACUCCUUUCGACCCCAAGGCUUCACCGGUCGACCUGGAGGUAAGCUGCUUAACCUUUCUGUUCGGUUCGUCCGACCCCUUUCCGUUCGGUUCGCCCGACCCCUGUCCUUUUUCGUUUCGCCCGACCCUUUGUUUCGGUUCGCCCGACCCCUUUUCUUUUCGUCUCGCCCGACCUUUUUCCGUUCGCCUUGCCCGACCCUGCCAAGUUCGCCGACCCUUUCUCUGCCUCGCCCGAGGGCUCGGUUGUAACUUUUUCUUUGACCCGAGGGUAUCGGUGAAAUGUUUUCGGGGAUUCCUCUGUGUUGAGUCUGAGGACCUCGGUACGGUUUUCCUUAAACCUGAGGGUCAGACCCUAAGUUUUUCUCCAAUCCGACCCUCUCAUCCUGCUCUCCACCAACAGAAGUUGAACUUCCCCACCUUUCCUGUAGCUUUGCUACAAGUGUCCGUGUUAAAACAUGAGUGUGUUGAAAUGACCAUCUAAAAUGUUAACCCCUGCAUUGCAUUUCCGUGUAGAGUUGAAUCUCGCCGACGGAACGUACGAGCUUCAUCCAGCAUCGGAAGAAGACCCCGCCGAGGAACUGCACCCCUUCGAAGGAGAGCCCGAACCAACGCAAGACCCCGAGGACCCGCAAGCUUUUUCUGAAGGCAAGCCCCGGUGCAUGAACUCCCUGUUUUACUUUCAUGCCACUUAUUGAUUACUUGAUUGCGCAUUUACGUUUCGAGGAGUUGUAAUGGAACCUUAGAUGCAUAACUUAGUACCUUGUUUUUGAAUACUAGUUGCUAAGGCCGAGUAGUUGCUUUGCUUGAUAGGUUUCGGUAAAAGUCAAGUGAUCUCCUGUCACUCGCGAGUUAUAGGAGUUGAAUGUUUCAGAUUUGUCGCAACUAUAAGGACGACGGACGGGGUCAGGCUUGUGUUCGAUACUUGGUGGAUUGCCCCGUCUGUCUAAAUGAAAAUGAACUAAGGUCGAAACGUGUCGGCGUUCGUGAUCAAGUGUUUGAAAGUACUAAUCUCAUACCUAGUAUGGGAUGGGGAAGCCUAGUACCUGAUUGAACUGGGACGUGGCAUACCUUCCGGCUGUCCUUGGAAUGUCGUUCCCAUGGUGCAUCAUGUGGGUGCAAGUGCGGUCACAGUGCAGCAAUAGGUCGGGACUGUGGAGCAUUGCAUGCCAAAGGAAGUUGGCCCUGACACGUGCCUAAGGGAUCGAUGGGGACGGCUGACAAAUGAAGGGACCCUUCGUGGUGCGCGGAUGUCGUGAGAUUAGGUUUGCCAUGCAUGGUUAAUGAAUUCGAAUCAAUUCAUCUGCCUCUCACAGAUUGGGACUACUUGAUCGCUAUUCUGCACUGAGUAAAGAUGGAACAUGAUGAUGAUUUUAAUCUUGAUGUUUGUCAAGUAAUUGCUUGGAAACCAUGUUUGUUUAGUAUAAGUUGCUAAUCUAGAAUGGAUAAAGAACAUAGAACAUGAGCUAAAAGGCUGAAAGUAAGGACUGACUUUAGACGCUUUUGGCAAGAAAACCCCAGAGCCAGAAAGCCUUGCAUGUCUAGGUCUCGGUCGUGUCUUUCCGAUGGGUCAGUCUUGCUGAGUACUAGUUGCUCAGCCUUGUUGUGGCUAAUCUUUUUCAGGUAAUGUCAGUAGCUUGGGUGUUGGUACCACUUGGCCGACCCAGCUUCCUCCAGGCUGGACCGUCGAGUGGGAUCCUUCCUCGGAUGGCAAAGGAAGGAGUUUUUGAUGUCAUGAUCGGCUCCGUCAUGAUGUCAUGUAUCGACGUGUAGCUUCCGCUAGUUUUCCUUUGACUUCGAACCAUGCAAAAUUUCGGUUUGAAUUUUGAAAACUCUGAUGUAAUAAAAUGUGGAACUUGUUGUCAUGAUGGAAUGUUGUAAUCUCUGUGCUACUCACCUUCGUGUGAGCGAUGCUUCUCGAUCCUGUUUAUGUGGUUUAUCGGAGGAAAUCCGACGGUCGACCAAGUUGACUUGCUUAAAGUGCAUAAUCGCAUGUCAGGCGACUUCAAUGCAUUUUAGAUAGGUUAAUUUGGGCGGUUCCGCCACAUAGGCGAGCCUAGAAGCCAACUAGUAAAGCACGUCAAGAGAAGAUGGAGUUACCUCAACCAUUGGCAGAUAACAAUACUCAGCCUAGUUCCCACGAACCACAGCCUAAAGUUGUUCACCAUCCACAUGGUAACCCCAUCAAUAAGAAUCCUGAUGCACUAGUUAUUCCAUCGAUAGUUACUAGGGAGCAGAAAGAAAACCAAGAUGGAUGUGUAAAAGUAUUGUGCUUCAGAUGCGAUGAAGAAGGCCAUUAUGCCAAUAACUGUCCAAUAAAGCAUAAGUCGACCAAGUCCGCUAGAGCCAAAUUGUAUUGCCUCCAGUGUGGAGAAAAUGGACAUCUUGAUUAGUUGGUGUGCAAAAGAGGAAGACGAUCAACCCCAGGGCCAAGGACCCAAUAGCCCUGCAUUCAAACCGACAACAUUAGUUGGUCUCUUUGUCAGGACAAAUGAUCAGGACGCCUCAGUCAGGAAAGAAUGCCAUCAAUUUCCAACGCCCAAUUCCCAUGCCACAUCCAGUGGCCAAAGUACCAAAGUAAGAAAAACAUGUUUCUACCGCAAAGAAGAGGGACAUUUCAUCAGACAAUGUUCCAAGAAGCGUUUGGACCAGAUGGAGAAGAAGACUAAAGGAUGUGUAUGAAGACUUGAAGGAUGACAAUCGAGCCAGAGGGAAGCAAUUCAGCUCUAUUCAAAUCACUUUACCAAGAAAUGAAGAAAGUUCUUCAAGGCCAAAGAAGCAGAGGAAAGGAAUGGAUACUUAAAAGAGGAAUUAGACUACGUAUCCCUGAAGUGUUCUAUGUGAUGUAGUGAAGCAUAAAGAAGCAUGAUUGAGAGGCUUACAUAAGGAUGAACGAUCUGGAAGGAAGCUAAUAAGUGCUGGAUGCUACCCACCUAAACCUGUCUCUUGCUAGCCUUUGCGAAUCUCAGGACAAGAUUCUUGUUAAGGGGGGUAGUGUUAUCACACCCUGAAAUUUUCGAAUUUCAGGAUGUGAUUAAAAAGAGUAAUUGAACAACGAUUUUCUCAUAAUUUUAAAAUUUUCCCAACAUUUAUUUUUCUUUACAGGAAAUUUAGUAUAGGAAAAAUAAUUUUUUUUGCUUUUAUAAAUUAAAUAAUGUUAUUCUAUGUCUGUGCAUUCAUGUUGAUGCAUCUUGGUGUUUCUUGAGUGCAAAAAGUUUUAAAAAUACGUUUAGACGUUGUUUAGAUUCUUUUGAGAAUUUUUCAAUUUUUUUCUGGAAUUUAUUCUCUUUUUCCUAGAGCUAAAUCCAAGUUUUGGAAGGCUCUAGAGUCCUUUUCACGAGCUCCAAGUAUUUUACUUGGAUUCUUUGUGUCCCAAUCCAUCUCUGAGAUUUAUCUCAGAUUUUUUGGAAUUUUCUAGGUAUUUUUCUCGCUUUAGAAAACGAGUCCGGCUAUUUCUGGAAUUGUUUUCACGCAGAUAAACAAAAUCGGAAAUUCCGAAAUUAAAAAGUCAACUCAAAAAUUGGCCCCCUCCUUCUCUCUCUCUCCUGUUUCUGUACGCAACUUAACCGUACGUAAACUUGGCCGCCGCCUGGUCUGUUCGUCCUGCCUGCCCAACACCUCCCGCUCGCUUGUGCCGUUGCCUGCACGCGCACCGUCGCCUCCUAGCCCGGCCACCGCCGCCUGCACCACCCGCCCGGGCCUCUGCCGUGCCGGAACGCCGGUAGGCCGCCGGCCAGGAGCUGCGCCAUGCCCCUGGCGUGAGGAAGAAGAUGAAGCGCUGCUUUUCGAUCUAGCCCCUGGAGAAUCUGUUAAUUUCUGUUCCUAUUUCUUGUGUCUUGCAAACCUUGUAGAAAACCCCCUGUAACUUUGAGAUCCUUUCAAUCUAAUCCAAACCUUGAACUUUUGCAGAUCUAACCCGAAGUUUUCAGCUUUCCGUGAGCCCUAUUCCUUGUGUCUUGUCAAUCUUCUCACCUAACCCUCCAAGUCUACAGUUAAUUAUGUUUAGACCCCUGCAACGUCAAUUAACCCUAGAUUCUACGUCUGAGCUCCGUUUAACCUCGUUCAAGAUACGUUAGAUGCAUAACAAUGUAAAUUACACGUUAGUGGUAAUAUUUUCCUUCACACAUGUUUUUGAAAAUAAAAUUUAUAUUAAAAUUGAUUAAUGCCUGACAAACGAGUUCUUCUCUAAAUAAAAUCUAUUUAAUGUUAAACAUCAUUUUUCAUAAUAAUUGUUAAUUUGAUUAAUUCCUACUUCAUACCC
Molecule: long non-coding RNA, 9828 nt
Filed under: Setaria viridis
Lineage: Eukaryota; Viridiplantae; Streptophyta; Magnoliopsida; Poales; Poaceae
Description: long non-coding RNA (SVIR_LNC001575)
Source: RNAcentral